GCGGACGGGUGAGUAACACAUGGGGAUCGACCCAGUCGUGAGGAAUACCACCGAGAAAUCGGUGACAAUACCGCAUACGUCCGGGGAACCGAGCAAAGCUCUUCGCAAGAGGGGCGCGAGUGGACGAGCCUGUGCCUGAUUAGUUAGUUGGUGGGGUAAGAGCCUACCAAGACUGCGAUCAGUCGCUGGUCUGAGAGGAUGAUCAGCCACACUGGGAUUGAGAACGGCCCAGACUCCUACGGGGGGCAGCAGUGAGGAAUAUUCGGCAAUGGGGGCAACCCUGACCGAGCAACGCCGCGUGCAGGAAGACGGCCUUCGGGUUGUAAACUGCUUUUCUGGGGGAAGAGAACGGACGGUACCCCAGGAAGAAGCUCCGGCUAACUACGUGCCAGCAGCCGCGGUAAUACGUAGGGAGCGAGCGUUGUCCGGAGUUACUGGGCGUAAAGCGCACGCAGGCGGUCUGUCGCGUUCGUGCCGACAGCGACUCGCCUAACGAGUCGAGGAGUACGGAAACGGGCAGACUUGAGGGCCACAGAGGGACACGGAACUCCGGGUGGAGUGGUGAAAUGCGUAGAGAUCCGGAAGAACACCAAAGGCGAAGGCAGUGUCCUGGGUGGUACCUGACGCUCAGAGGCGACAGCUAGGGGAGCGAACGGGAUUAGAUACCCCGGUAGUCCUAGCCGUAAACGAUGACCACGAGAUGUCCGGGGGAUCGACCCCCUGGGUGUCGAAGCAAACGCAAUCAGUGGUCCGCCUGGGGAGUACGGUCGCAAGAUUAAAACUCAAAGGAAUUGACGGGGACCCGCAC
RNAcentral lists this ribosomal RNA (808 nucleotides) under uncultured bacterium. RNAcentral's name for it is "bacterial SSU rRNA". It matches the Rfam family "Bacterial small subunit ribosomal RNA", at positions 98 to 926 of the family's 1533-position model. The record is from RNAcentral.